UACGGAGGAUGCAAGCGUUAUCCGGAUUUAUUGGGUUUAAAGGGUGCGCAGGCUGACCGGUAAGUCAGGGGUGAAACUUUACAGCUUAACGGUAGGAUUGCCAUUGAUACUGUUGGACUUGAAUAUGGAUGAGGUAGGCGGAAUGCGUAGUGUAGCGGUGAAAUGCAUAGAUAUUACACAGAACACCGAUUGCGAAGGCAGCUUACUAAUCCAUCAUUGACGCUGAGGCACGAAAGCGUGGGGAUCAAACAGGAUUAGA
This 259-nucleotide ribosomal RNA is filed under the name uncultured prokaryote. RNAcentral's name for it is "partial 16S ribosomal RNA". It matches the Rfam family "Bacterial small subunit ribosomal RNA", at positions 524 to 782 of the family's 1533-position model. The record is from RNAcentral.